This 254-nucleotide ribosomal RNA is filed under the name uncultured bacterium. Its description in RNAcentral is "partial 16S ribosomal RNA". It matches the Rfam family "Bacterial small subunit ribosomal RNA", at positions 524 to 776 of the family's 1533-position model. The record is from RNAcentral.
UACGUAGGGGGCAAGCGUUGUCCGGAUUUAUUGGGCGUAAAGGGCGCGUAGGCGGCCACCGCAAGUCGACUGUGAAAUCUCCGGGCUUAACCCGGAAAGGUCAGCCGAUACUGCGGGGCUAGAGUGCAGAAGGGGCAACUGGAAUUCUCGGUGUAGCGGUGAAAUGCGUAGAUAUCGAGAGGAACACCUGCGGCGAAGGCGGGUUGCUGGGCUGACACUGACGCUGAGGCGCGAAAGCUAGGGGAGCGAACGGG